This 424-nucleotide ribosomal RNA is filed under the name Acidobacteriota bacterium. Its description in RNAcentral is "Acidobacteria bacterium partial 16S ribosomal RNA". It matches the Rfam family "Bacterial small subunit ribosomal RNA", at positions 355 to 776 of the family's 1533-position model. Lineage: Bacteria; Pseudomonadati; Acidobacteriota. The record is from RNAcentral.
UAGGGAAUCUUCCACAAUGGGCGAAAGCCUGAUGGAGCAACGCCGCGUGAGUGAUGAAGGUUUUCGGAUCGUAAAACUCUGUUGUUAGGGAAGAACACCCGGGUGAGGAUCCCGGUUUGACGGUACCUAACGAGGAAGCCCCGGCUAACUACGUGCCAGCAGCCGCGGUAAUACGUAGGGGGCAAGCGUUGUCCGGAAUUAUUGGGCGUAAAGCGCGCGCAGGCGGCUUACUAAGUCUGGUGUGAAAGCCCACGGCUCAACCGUGGAGGGCCAUUGGAAACUGGUAGGCUUGAGUGCAGGAGAGGAGAGCGGAAUUCCCGGUGUAGCGGUGAAAUGCGUAGAUAUCGGGGGGAACACCCGUGGCGAAGGCGGCUCUCUGGCCUGUAACUGACGCUGAGGCGCGAAAGCGUGGGGAGCAAACAGG